This 497-nucleotide ribosomal RNA is filed under the name uncultured bacterium. Its description in RNAcentral is "partial 16S ribosomal RNA". It matches the Rfam family "Bacterial small subunit ribosomal RNA", at positions 28 to 507 of the family's 1533-position model. The record is from RNAcentral.
GAUGAACGCUGGCGGCGUGCCUAAUACAUGCAAGUCGAGCGAACGGACGAGAAGCUUGUUUCUCUGAUGUUAGCGGCGGAAGGGUGAGUAACACGUGGAUAACCUACCUAUAAGACUGGGAUAACUUCGGGAAACCGGAGCUAAUACCGGAUGAUAUUUUGAACCGCAUGGUUCAAAAGUGAAAGACGGUCUUGCUGUCACUUAUAGAUGGAUCCGCGCUGCAUUAGCUAGUUGGUAAGGUAACGGCUUACCAAGGCAACGAUGCAUAGCCGACCUGAGAGGGUGAUCGGCCACACUGGAACUGAGACACGGUCCAGACUCCUACGGGAGGCAGCAGUAGGGAAUCUUCCGCAAUGGGCGAAAGCCUGACGGAGCAACGCCGCGUGAGUGAUGAAGGUCUUCGGAUCGUAAAACUCUGUUAUUAGGGAAGAACAUAUGUGUAAGUAACUGUGCACAUCUUGACGGUACCUAAUCAGAUAGCCACGGCUAACUACGUG